AGCUCGUCCGAACGUAGUGAGUUAUCUCCAUUGAUUCUUCACCGUCAGUUACAGAUCGAGCUCCUUGUUCUACUCUUUCUUCCUUCUCACUACUGCACUUGACUAGUUAACA
Molecule: Y RNA, 112 nt
Filed under: Cebus imitator (Panamanian white-faced capuchin)
Lineage: Eukaryota; Metazoa; Chordata; Mammalia; Primates; Cebidae
Description: Y RNA (ENSCCAG00000000592.1)
Rfam family: Y RNA
About the family: Y RNAs are components of the Ro ribonucleoprotein particle (Ro RNP), in association with Ro60 and La proteins.
Source: Rfam by way of RNAcentral